AGAUCAGCUAUGAGACUGCACUGGUCUACAUCCCUUCCACUCCGUCCUCUCUCAUCAUCUGCCUUGUUCCUGAGAAGAUGUGUUUGAUGAGUAAUUCCAAUACAGAUCUUGCACUGUUGGCUGACUUCUCCAACUUGUUAAUUAAUUCAUAAAAUGGUUUUCUGUUAAUUAAAGAGGAAAGGGCUCCAUCUAGCUGUUUGGGAGACAGAAAAUGCAUCCCAGGAUUGACAGCAGGAAGGGGCUAUGUGAGUUACCCUGUUCCUCUUUUUUUAGAUGACAUCUGUGGAAAACAAUAAACUUCACUUCCUUUCUUAAAACAGUGGGAAAUGCAGACAUCUGCUAUUUGCAAUAACUAAAUCCUAACUCAAGAUAUUUUCGAGCAGAACUUGAUAAAUGUCCUGAACUUCUGCAAUGCAACCCCAAAUUUCAAUCAUAUUUAUUCUUUUUCUCUCCCCUUCAUGUAUUUUAAGGAGAGUAUCUGGCAUGCUCACCAAAAUCUGCAAAGAAACACACAUGCAAAGUUGGUAAAUAUUGUAGUUCAGUUAUAUGAAUUCCCAGCAAGUGUGUAAGAAGAAAAUCAACCCAAUUUGCAAAAGGACCUCACAGAGCUGAGGCUGGGCUGAGCACUGUCACUUUCCGUAGCUUGCGAGGUCUCUGUGCCACUGUCAACCAGGUACAGUGUCCCUGUCAGCUGGCCCUAGAAGGCUGUGCAUGGAUAACCAGGCUUAUUUGCCAAGGGACACCUUGGCAUGGAACACAAAGGGCACAUCACAGGAUAACCUGCUGUAGCAUGAUUGGCUUCAGAGUAGCUCUGAUAUCAAACCGAUAGUCAGGUGCUGGGGCAAAGAGCUGCGAUUUCUCAAAGAUUCCUGCAGUGAGCUCGGAGGCUGCAUUGCAGGAAGAAAUAACAGCCAAGGAGCCCUGGCUAUGAUGCUGCAGAGAGUCAGGAAAAACAGGGAACAUUGACCUGGAACGUCCCAGUGAGCGUGGAAUGUGUUGAGCAUUGGAUGCGAGGCCCCUGAGCUGUUGGAGGGUCUGGUGCUCUGUGUGUGCAGACGGCAUGCAAGUGCAGGCACAUGUUCUGUAUGCCGUUUUGGGAGAGGCGGCAGAGGUGCUGCUCAGAAAAGGCUGUGUUCAAAUAGGAUUUGCAGAAGAGACGCCCAGGAAUUGUAAGAAUUCAGCAGACUCUCUCAGAGCUGCCCCCAGGCACUCGUUUCCAAAGAGCAUGGAGCCCGAGGUUCUCUCCACCCUGCGACUGAGUUCGCUUUUUACCGGAGAUAAAGGUCCAGGUAACAUUAGGUCGCCUACCCUAUAGAUAACAAGCAGCCACUCAGGUUCAUUUCAGUCACUUCUGUGUCCCCUACAAGAUUCUCUCUACUGCCGCAGGCAGCGGGAAGCCGGAAAAGUAAGCCUGUGUCUCUGCAGGAGCCACCUAACUGCACCAGGACUCACGGAGAGGGAAAUGAAAUGACACCAACUCUGAGUGAAUAGGAGUUCCGACGCAGGAGAACCAGUGUGAAUGGAAGUAGGACGAGAUAACAUAAAAUUAAUUUCUUUCCAUUGAAAAGUCAUAUGGAAUUUUACCUUACUGAACCCAUGAUCUCAAGAAAAUUUCCUGCUGUUUUCCUCUGAAAUGCUUGUCAGAUACUAAUUCAACAGCACACGAGAGGAUGACAGAGCAAUCACCAUCUUCAGCUUAGCUUCAGUGUCAAGACGUCGCAUUGCUGUCGUGAGACAGCGCUGCUCAAGUUGAAUUAUUUGACAUAUGAAGAAACUGGAAUCUAUGAACUGACUGACUCACCCAGGUUUGCUGUUUGUGGCAAAAGUGCAGUUGCAGUCCUGGCAUCUACACUCCUGUCUUGGUCUGAGGAUCUUCUGAAGAGGGCCCAAGGCAGGGAUUCAAAGGCCAGGAGUUUACUUGGAAGAUCCUCCUGGAGAAUAAGGACUAAACUAAGCAGGGAAGUAAAGGAAGCUGAAGAAGUGUGCAUAACCAGGCGUGCUGCCACCGUGGGCAACUGGAGAUUCAUUCUGCUGGGACCCGUGUCAACUGGACAACUCAGAGUUGUCUCAUCCAAGGGGUGAGGGAGAGGAGGCAUUUAUCUACCAACUCCUAACAGUUCUUGGUUUGGAGCUGAACUGGAGGUGAAGAGCCUCAGUAUCUCCCACCUAUUGUAGAAACAGCAAAUCCCUAGGAACCAGGAGAAGCCCCCAGGCACAGAGAUGCAGGUGCCAGCCAUUGAAGUUAUGUCGCAUGUGCUAAAAUAACAAAAGCCAAAGAAAUGGGGCAGCUAAAACUCCUAACUCCAGUCUGUGUCUGCAUUUUAAUGGAUCAGAAAUGUACUAUGGCCAGAUUGAGAAAAGGGAAGACCAUUUAUUCCUCUAAUCUACAACUCAGCUCUUUUUCCCCUCAAGUUUAGCUCUGAUAGGCAGACUCUCAAAAAUGUUACCCCUUAAAGAGAGGAUGCUUACUACCCAUGAAAUUACCCAAAUAAUUCAGGAAAGUAUGAUCAGACAAGGAGAAUGAAAAUGACUUCAGUUCCAGUGUUGUUAUAAAAUGUUUUACGUCCAAAUUCCUCAGAUAUGAGUCAGAUUAUGUGAGUACUGCAAGAAAAAUAUACAUUUAUGUCUUUUUCACAGCAAACUUCAUGGCAAUUAAGUCAAAUAAACGCUUAAGGGAUCUCA
Molecule: long non-coding RNA, 2682 nt
Filed under: Homo sapiens (human)
Lineage: Eukaryota; Metazoa; Chordata; Mammalia; Primates; Hominidae
Description: non-protein coding lnc-COL4A2-10:1
Source: RNAcentral